This is a non-coding RNA of Gossypium hirsutum (cotton), 145 nucleotides long. Lineage: Eukaryota; Viridiplantae; Streptophyta; Magnoliopsida; Malvales; Malvaceae. The record is from Rfam.
UGUUUAAAAUUUCAUCCAUUUGUACAGUUAAAAACUGACAUGACUGACAAAAUAACCAUAUAGUGAUACGUAGUGUGCUACAUGUACCUAAUGCUGAUGUAUAAGGAUUAGGUUUUAAUAGUAGAAAUAGAUGCAAUUUUUAACA